Molecule: ribosomal RNA, 146 nt
Filed under: Peronospora sparsa
Lineage: Eukaryota; Oomycota; Peronosporomycetes; Peronosporales; Peronosporaceae
Description: partial 5.8S ribosomal RNA
Rfam family: 5.8S ribosomal RNA
About the family: 5.8S ribosomal RNA (5.8S rRNA) is a component of the large subunit of the eukaryotic ribosome.
Source: RNAcentral
GCUUGGAUGUCUAGGCUCGCACAUCGAUGAAGAACGCUGCGAACUGCGAUACGUAAUGCGAAUUGCAGGAUUCAGUGAGUCAUCGAAAUUUUGAACGCAUAUUGCACUUCCGGGUUAGUCCUGGAAGUAUGCCUGUAUCAGUGUCC